RNAcentral lists this ribosomal RNA (2903 nucleotides) under Escherichia coli. RNAcentral describes it as "bacterial LSU rRNA". It matches the Rfam family "Bacterial large subunit ribosomal RNA". Lineage: Bacteria; Pseudomonadati; Pseudomonadota; Gammaproteobacteria; Enterobacterales; Enterobacteriaceae. The record is from RNAcentral.
UUAAGCGACUAAGCGUACACGGUGGAUGCCCUGGCAGUCAGAGGCGAUGAAGGACGUGCUAAUCUGCGAUAAGCGUCGGUAAGGUGAUAUGAACCGUUAUAACCGGCGAUUUCCGAAUGGGGAAACCCAGUGUGAUUCGUCACACUAUCAUUAACUGAAUCCAUAGGUUAAUGAGGCGAACCGGGGGAACUGAAACAUCUAAGUACCCCGAGGAAAAGAAAUCAACCGAGAUUCCCCCAGUAGCGGCGAGCGAACGGGGAGGAGCCCAGAGCCUGAAUCAGUGUGUGUGUUAGUGGAAGCGUCUGGAAAGGCGCGCGAUACAGGGUGACAGCCCCGUACACAAAAAUGCACAUGCUGUGAGCUCGAUGAGUAGGGCGGGACACGUGGUAUCCUGUCUGAAUAUGGGGGGACCAUCCUCCAAGGCUAAAUACUCCUGACUGACCGAUAGUGAACCAGUACCGUGAGGGAAAGGCGAAAAGAACCCCGGCGAGGGGAGUGAAAAAGAACCUGAAACCGUGUACGUACAAGCAGUGGGAGCCUCUUUAUGGGGUGACUGCGUACCUUUUGUAUAAUGGGUCAGCGACUUAUAUUCUGUAGCAAGGUUAACCGAAUAGGGGAGCCGAAGGGAAACCGAGUCUUAACUGGGCGUUAAGUUGCAGGGUAUAGACCCGAAACCCGGUGAUCUAGCCAUGGGCAGGUUGAAGGUUGGGUAACACUAACUGGAGGACCGAACCGACUAAUGUUGAAAAAUUAGCGGAUGACUUGUGGCUGGGGGUGAAAGGCCAAUCAAACCGGGAGAUAGCUGGUUCUCCCCGAAAGCUAUUUAGGUAGCGCCUCGUGAAUUCAUCUCCGGGGGUAGAGCACUGUUUCGGCAAGGGGGUCAUCCCGACUUACCAACCCGAUGCAAACUGCGAAUACCGGAGAAUGUUAUCACGGGAGACACACGGCGGGUGCUAACGUCCGUCGUGAAGAGGGAAACAACCCAGACCGCCAGCUAAGGUCCCAAAGUCAUGGUUAAGUGGGAAACGAUGUGGGAAGGCCCAGACAGCCAGGAUGUUGGCUUAGAAGCAGCCAUCAUUUAAAGAAAGCGUAAUAGCUCACUGGUCGAGUCGGCCUGCGCGGAAGAUGUAACGGGGCUAAACCAUGCACCGAAGCUGCGGCAGCGACGCUUAUGCGUUGUUGGGUAGGGGAGCGUUCUGUAAGCCUGCGAAGGUGUACUGUGAGGUAUGCUGGAGGUAUCAGAAGUGCGAAUGCUGACAUAAGUAACGAUAAAGCGGGUGAAAAGCCCGCUCGCCGGAAGACCAAGGGUUCCUGUCCAACGUUAAUCGGGGCAGGGUGAGUCGACCCCUAAGGCGAGGCCGAAAGGCGUAGUCGAUGGGAAACAGGUUAAUAUUCCUGUACUUGGUGUUACUGCGAAGGGGGGACGGAGAAGGCUAUGUUGGCCGGGCGACGGUUGUCCCGGUUUAAGCGUGUAGGCUGGUUUUCCAGGCAAAUCCGGAAAAUCAAGGCUGAGGCGUGAUGACGAGGCACUACGGUGCUGAAGCAACAAAUGCCCUGCUUCCAGGAAAAGCCUCUAAGCAUCAGGUAACAUCAAAUCGUACCCCAAACCGACACAGGUGGUCAGGUAGAGAAUACCAAGGCGCUUGAGAGAACUCGGGUGAAGGAACUAGGCAAAAUGGUGCCGUAACUUCGGGAGAAGGCACGCUGAUACGUAGGUGAAGUCCCUCGCGGAUGGAGCUGAAAUCAGUCGAAGAUACCAGCUGGCUGCAACUGUUUAUUAAAAACACAGCACUGUGCAAACACGAAAGUGGACGUAUACGGUGUGACGCCUGCCCGGUGCCGGAAGGUUAAUUGAUGGGGUUAGCGGUAACGCGAAGCUCUUGAUCGAAGCCCCGGUAAACGGCGGCCGUAACUAUAACGGUCCUAAGGUAGCGAAAUUCCUUGUCGGGUAAGUUCCGACCUGCACGAAUGGCGUAAUGAUGGCCAGGCUGUCUCCACCCGAGACUCAGUGAAAUUGAACUCGCUGUGAAGAUGCAGUGUACCCGCGGCAAGACGGAAAGACCCCGUGAACCUUUACUAUAGCUUGACACUGAACAUUGAGCCUUGAUGUGUAGGAUAGGUGGGAGGCUUUGAAGUGUGGACGCCAGUCUGCAUGGAGCCGACCUUGAAAUACCACCCUUUAAUGUUUGAUGUUCUAACGUUGGCCCCUAAUCGGGGUUGCGGACAGUGUCUGGUGGGUAGUUUGACUGGGGCGGUCUCCUCCUAAAGAGUAACGGAGGAGCACGAAGGUUGGCUAAUCCUGGUCGGACAUCAGGAGGUUAGUGCAAUGGCAUAAGCCAGCUUGACUGCGAGCGUGACGGCGCGAGCAGGUGCGAAAGCAGGUCAUAGUGAUCCGGUGGUUCUGAAUGGAAGGGCCAUCGCUCAACGGAUAAAAGGUACUCCGGGGAUAACAGGCUGAUACCGCCCAAGAGUUCAUAUCGACGGCGGUGUUUGGCACCUCGAUGUCGGCUCAUCACAUCCUGGGGCUGAAGUAGGUCCCAAGGGUAUGGCUGUUCGCCAUUUAAAGUGGUACGCGAGCUGGGUUUAGAACGUCGUGAGACAGUUCGGUCCCUAUCUGCCGUGGGCGCUGGAGAACUGAGGGGGGCUGCUCCUAGUACGAGAGGACCGGAGUGGACGCAUCACUGGUGUUCGGGUUGUCAUGCCAAUGGCACUGCCCGGUAGCUAAAUGCGGAAGAGAUAAGUGCUGAAAGCAUCUAAGCACGAAACUUGCCCCGAGAUGAGUUCUCCCUGACUCCUUGAGAGUCCUGAAGGAACGUUGAAGACGACGACGUUGAUAGGCCGGGUGUGUAAGCGCAGCGAUGCGUUGAGCUAACCGGUACUAAUGAACCGUGAGGCUUAACCUU